RNAcentral lists this long non-coding RNA (487 nucleotides) under Arachis ipaensis. Its description in RNAcentral is "long non-coding RNA (AIPA_LNC001311)". Lineage: Eukaryota; Viridiplantae; Streptophyta; Magnoliopsida; Fabales; Fabaceae. The record is from RNAcentral.
UUGUGGGAUGGCAAAUUUGCAAAGACAGAGGGACUCAAAGAUUUACCGGCGGUCAGAGACAGAGAAAAAGGGUUCCGGUGACAGGCUCACAUGCAACAGCGACAGUCAAGCUCGCAGCGACGGCGACCAAGCGAUGAAUCUGUGGAAGAACAAGAAAAGAACUUAGAUCUCAUAAUGAUGGAGAGACAGAGAGCACGAGAGAGAGAGAGAGAGAGAGAGAGAGAGAGAGAGAGAGAGAGAGAGAGAGAGAGGAACUUACGGAGCUGUGCGAGCUGAGCAGCGAGGGCGAGGAGUUGUGCGACUGAACAGCGAGGGCGAGGAGUUGUGCGGCUGAGCAGCGACGGGCCGACGGUAGACGGGAAGUGAGCAACGACAGCAAGAAACAGUGAGACUAAGUGGUGACGCCAAAGAAUUGCGACGACGGCAAGGAGUUGCGGAAUGACGGCGCAAUGACCGAGAGGAGAUGAGAGGCUGAACGGAAAAGCAA